UGCAAAUGGAGCCACACAGUGGAAAUUAGC
This 30-nucleotide non-coding RNA is filed under the name Homo sapiens (human). The record is from RNAcentral. Lineage: Eukaryota; Metazoa; Chordata; Mammalia; Primates; Hominidae.